Molecule: ribosomal RNA, 494 nt
Filed under: uncultured bacterium
Lineage: Bacteria
Description: partial 16S ribosomal RNA
Rfam family: Bacterial small subunit ribosomal RNA
Source: RNAcentral
GACGAACGCUGGCGGCGUGCUUAACACAUGCAAGUCGAACGGAAAGGCCUGCUUUCCCUUGUGGAUUGCGGGUACUCGAGUGGCGAACGGGUGAGUAACACGUGAGUGAUCUGCCCCCAACUUGGGUAUAAGCCUGGGAAACUGGGUCUAAUUCCCGAUAGGACUGCAGGGUGGUGCCUGUGGUGGAAAACGAUUUUCUAGUGGUUGGGGAUGAGCUCGCGGCCUAUCAGCUUGUUGGUGGGGUAAUGGCCUACCAAGGCGGCGACGGGUAGCCGGCCUGAGAGGGUGGACGGCAACAUUGGGACUGAGAUACGGACCAGACUACUACGGGAGGCAGCAGUGGGGAAUAUUGCACAAUGGGCGGAAGCCUGAUGCAGCGACGCCGCGUGGGGGAUGACGGCCUUCGGGUUGUAAACUCCUUUCGACAGCGAGGAAGCCACAUGGUUGGAAGGGUGGUGACGGUAGUGGUAGAAGAAGCACCGGCUAACUACGUG